Molecule: long non-coding RNA, 274 nt
Filed under: Lathyrus oleraceus (garden pea)
Lineage: Eukaryota; Viridiplantae; Streptophyta; Magnoliopsida; Fabales; Fabaceae
Description: Pisum sativum (pea) long non-coding RNA (PSAT_LNC005285)
Source: RNAcentral
CAGAUUACUCAAUUCUUCCAAAGAUGUCAGCGGCUCACGGUAAAAGCUGUAGGUGCAAAUCUUCCUCUUCAACUCUGGAAUGGCUGCCAUCUCUCAAUGUGAACAGACUCCUGAAUAAACCUGAGAAAUGAUAUGCAUGUGCAAGUUAGCUUUUUUUCUCUUUUUUCUCUUCUUUUUUUUGCAUUAUUUUUUUUGAAAACAAACAUGCUAUGAUGCAAAUGAUGAAACCAUGACUGGUUGGCUGUGAAUCACAAGGCACAGGUUCAGAACUUCG